This is a small nuclear RNA of Cervus hanglu yarkandensis (Yarkand deer), 107 nucleotides long. NCBI's taxonomy places the organism in Eukaryota, Metazoa, Chordata, Mammalia, Artiodactyla, Cervidae. The record is from Ensembl.
GUGCUCACUUUGGCCGCACGUAUACUAACAUUGGCCCAAGACAGAGAAGGUUAGUGUGGCCUGUGCACAAGGAUGAUGCCCACACCCACGCUUUGCUCUCUGUGUGU